UAGUUGUAGGGUAACGGCCUACCAAGGCGACGAUGGCUAGGGGUUCUGAGAGGAAGAUCCCCCACACUGGUACUGAGAUACGGACCAGACUCCUACGGGAGGCGGCAGUAAGGAAUAUUGGGCAAUGGUCGGAAGACUGACCCAGCCAUGCCGCGUGCAGGAAGAAGGCGCUUAGCGUUGUAAACUGCUUUUGUCGGAGAAGAAAAUACCCCUGCGGGGGUGCCUGACGGUAUCCGACGAAUAAGCAUCGGCUAACUACGUGCCAGCAGCCGCGGUAAUACGUAGGAUGCAAGCGUUGUCCGGAUUUAUUGGGUUUAAAGGGUGCGUAGGUGGGGAAUUAAGUCGUGGGUGAAAGCUGGUAGCUCAACUAUCAAAAUGCCUGCGAUACUGGUUUUCUUGAAUACGGUGGAGGUAACUGGAAUGGGUGGUGUAGCGGUGAAAUGCAUAGAUACCAUCCGGAACACCAAUUGCGUAGGCAGGUUACUACGCCGUGAUUGACACUGAGGCACGAAAGCGUGGGGAUCAAACAGGAUUAGAUACCCUGGUAGUCCACGCCGUAAACGAUGAUGACUCGUUGUUAGCGAUAUACCGUUAGCGACUUAGGGAAACCGUUAAGUCAU
Molecule: ribosomal RNA, 620 nt
Filed under: uncultured bacterium
Lineage: Bacteria
Description: bacterial SSU rRNA
Rfam family: Bacterial small subunit ribosomal RNA
Source: RNAcentral